AUGACGUGCUUCAAAACCACAGAAAAACCACAGCUGUGUUUGUUGACCAGCGACUUGAAGAAUGAAAUCAACUUUUUCCAUGAGGAAACUUCAAAGGAGGCUAGCCUAGAAUCCACUCUCCUUGCUUGGAGGAAGGAGAAUUUUAAUGCCACUUUGGCUACAAGAGGACAAGAUGAUGACUUCAAGAACAAAGCAAAAGGAUUGGUAUGCAGAUGGGUGGCAGCUUCCCAUGUUUGUAGGUAA
This 243-nucleotide long non-coding RNA is filed under the name Oryctolagus cuniculus (rabbit). RNAcentral describes it as "lncRNA (ENSOCUG00000032373.1)". The record is from RNAcentral. Lineage: Eukaryota; Metazoa; Chordata; Mammalia; Lagomorpha; Leporidae.